GAUGAACGCUGGCGGCGCGCCUAACACAUGCAAGUCGAACGGCACCCACCCUCGGGUGGAAGCGAGUGGCGAACGGCUGAGUAACACGUGGAGAACCUGCCCCCUCCCCCGGGAUAGCCGCCCGAAAGGACGGGUAAUACCGGAUACCCCGGGGUGCCGCAUGGCACCCCGGCUAAAGCCCCGACGGGAGGGGAUGGCUCCGCGGCCCAUCAGGUAGACGGCGGGGUGACGGCCCACCGUGCCGACAACGGGUAGCCGGGUUGAGAGACCGACCGGCCAGAUUGGGACUGAGACACGGCCCAGACUCCUACGGGAGGCAGCAGUGGGGAAUCUUGCGCAAUGGGGGGAACCCUGACGCAGCGACGCCGCGUGCGGGACGGAGGCCUUCGGGUCGUAAACCGCUUUCAGCAGGGAAGAGUCAAGACUGUACCUGCAGA
RNAcentral lists this ribosomal RNA (437 nucleotides) under uncultured bacterium. RNAcentral describes it as "bacterial SSU rRNA". It matches the Rfam family "Bacterial small subunit ribosomal RNA", at positions 28 to 485 of the family's 1533-position model. The record is from RNAcentral.